CAUAAAUAUUCGGUAGAAUAAAAGAAAAAGAGAGAAGAUGAGGAUAACGGAAGGCGGCACAAUUGAAAGAGACGACAUAAUUGUGCAGGAUCGGAAGCAUUGAAGAAUGAAAAAUCAUUGGAAAAGUAGUUUUCUUGAAUUCGGUUCUUCGGUGGAGAGUGCAACAAGUGUACCGAUGAAUUUGAAUCGUCCUCACCUCUAUCAAGUCUCGGCAUAUCAGGUUCAAGGGUGAACUAUUCAUUCGAGGUUGAGUUGGAUUCUCUCAGUCAAUACCUGAUGUCCUUAGUUUUCGGACACAAAUUACUUUAUUUCAUUUAUUUUGGUGUCUUUGAUACUCUUACACAUAGUAAUUGAAGAUUAGAUGUCCUUGUUGUGAUGACUGGGAAAAGAUAUUUAGUAUGUUUUUGAGCUUCCGCAUUAUGCUUGUAGUUUAUAAGUUGGGGUUAAAUUCAUUGGUUCUCCCACCUAGGAAGUUAAGUGUGGGUGCCACUCACGACUCGUUUUGGGUCAUGAAAAUUUUCUUGUAGCAGCAGUACCUGAUAGUAUGAUUAGAUAAAUAUAAAAAAUAUGUUUUCGUUUA
Long non-coding RNA from Solanum pennellii, 580 nucleotides. RefSeq lists it as uncharacterized. The record is from RefSeq and is a predicted model, not a curated record. The transcript has 3 exons. Lineage: Eukaryota; Viridiplantae; Streptophyta; Magnoliopsida; Solanales; Solanaceae.